Long non-coding RNA from Oncorhynchus masou masou (cherry salmon), 356 nucleotides. RefSeq lists it as uncharacterized. The record is from RefSeq and is a predicted model, not a curated record. The transcript is spliced from 2 exons. NCBI's taxonomy places the organism in Eukaryota, Metazoa, Chordata, Actinopteri, Salmoniformes, Salmonidae.
AUAGCUCUCUCGUCCUGAUGCUUGACCAUGUGUUCCUGUCAGAGGGGCCAGGGGGCGCCAGCCAGGGAACCUGUGGUCACAGAGGAACAACAGAAACAGAUGAUGAUGCACCACUACAAGAGACAACAGGAACUCAAGAUGCUGGACGAGGUGGAAGACGACAGUCACCUCCACUCAGACUGGUCAGACAGACAGGCCUUAAAGAGACAGUUCCAGGGCCUCAGCAACAUCAAGUGGGGUCCCAGAUAGACACACGUCUUUAUUUAUUUAUUUAAUACAAAUUGUAAGCUUUAGUUUGCAAAAAAAAUUUAAGUUGCUUCUGCAAUGUUGAAAAUAAAGUGUGUUGACAAAAAAAA